Molecule: ribosomal RNA, 462 nt
Filed under: uncultured bacterium
Lineage: Bacteria
Description: bacterial SSU rRNA
Rfam family: Bacterial small subunit ribosomal RNA
Source: RNAcentral
GUGCUUAAUACAUGCAAGUCAACUUGACUUUAGAUAGCAAUAUCGAAAGUAGGGUGGCGCACGGGUGCGUAACGCGUAGGUAAUCUGCCCUGAGGUCUGACAUAACCCGUCGAAAGGCGGGCUAACAUCAGAUGAUAUAUGAUCACGACAUCGUGGAAAUAUCAAAUCUUCGGAGCCUUGGGAUGAGCCUGCGUCUGAUUAGGUAGUUGGCGGAGUAAUAGCCCACCAAGCCUACGAUCAGUAGCUGGUCUGAGAGGAUGAUCAGCCACACUGGAACUGAGACACGGUCCAGACCCCUACGGGAGGCAGCAGUAAGGAAUAUUGCUCAAUGGGGGAAACCCUGAAGCAGCAACGCCGCGUGAAGGAUGAAAUACUUUGUAUGUAAACUUCUGUAAGAUGGGAAAAAUAUUCUCCUCGGGAGAAUUGAUUGUACCAUCAGAGUAAGCCCCGGCUAACUACGUG